CACGUGAGUAACCUGCCCUUAACUUCGGGAUAAGCCUGGGAAACCGGGUCUAAUACCGGAUACGACGGACCACCGCAUGGCGGUCCGUGGAAAGCUUGAUGCGGUUUUGGAUGGACUCGCGGCCUAUCAGCUAGUUGGUUGGGGUAAUGGCCCACCAAGGCGACGACGGGUAGCCGGCCUGAGAGGGUGACCGGCCACACUGGGACUGAGACACGGCCCAGACUCCUACGGGAGGCAGCAGUGGGGAAUAUUGCACAAUGGGCGAAAGCCUGAUGCAGCGACGCCGCGUGAGGGACGAAGGCCUUCGGGUUGUAAACCUCUUUCAGCAGGGAAGAAGCGAAAGUGACGGUACCUGCAGAAGAAGCGCCGGCUAACUACGUGCCAGCAGCCGCGGUAAUACGUAGGGCGCAAGCGUUAUCCGGAAUUAUUGGGCGU
Molecule: ribosomal RNA, 435 nt
Filed under: Arthrobacter citreus
Lineage: Bacteria; Bacillati; Actinomycetota; Actinomycetes; Micrococcales; Micrococcaceae
Description: bacterial SSU rRNA
Rfam family: Bacterial small subunit ribosomal RNA
Source: RNAcentral